Molecule: long non-coding RNA, 656 nt
Filed under: Heterocephalus glaber (naked mole-rat)
Lineage: Eukaryota; Metazoa; Chordata; Mammalia; Rodentia; Bathyergidae
Description: lncRNA (ENSHGLG00100041701.1)
Source: RNAcentral
GGUGACCUUCGGAGGAACUGUUCCUGGACUGACUUCAUUUAGGUUCUGUGAACUUGCCAAGUAGCCAGCAACAAAACCCCAGAUUGGCCACUUGACCUCUCUGGUCCCAACUCUCCUAACUUACAAUAUAAUAUGAAGUUUAUUUCCUAUGUGUUUUUACCUUAGUCCCACGUUCUGUGAGACAAUCAAGGCACAAUAUUUUGUACAUCAUUUCAGCCAGCCUGUGUUGGAGGUGGCUCUGGGGUGCCUGUGACAGCAUGUGUCUGUCAGCCUUGGCAGCUGCCUCCCUUCGACAAACUCUAGGUAAAGGAAUCUGUGACGUUUUUAUUCAUCCCUGCAUCCAUGGACCUAAGCACUCAAUUAAUAUUGGAUUGAAUAAAUUACCACCAAUCAGCUCUCUGAUAGCAGCAUUUAAAUCAACACCUGAAGAGUUAAUGUUCUCUGUUUUGGCACCAAACGCCACUGGGGAAAUUCCCACAGAUAAAGCAAGUGGAGUAACCUGCCAAAGGUAAUGAAGAGUGUGGACUGGGAUAAACAUCCAAAUUUGGAUCCUGAUUCUGCCACUUAUUAGCUUUAUUUAUUUAAGCUGGAGGUAACUCACUUGCCUCACUGGGACAUUUAUUAGAUAGACAUAAUAACACCCACCUCAGAUGCCC